AGUGAACGCUGGCGGUAGGCCUAACACAUGCAAGUCGAACGGCAGCACAGUAAGAGCUUGCUCUUACGGGUGGCGAGUGGCGGACGGGUGAGGAAUACAUCGGAAUCUACUUUUUCGUGGGGGAUAACGUAGGGAAACUUACGCUAAUACCGCAUACGACCUACGGGUGAAAGCAGGGGAUCUUCGGACCUUGCGCGAUUGAAUGAGCCGAUGUCGGAUUAGCUAGUUGGCGGGGUAAAGGCCCACCAAGGCGACGAUCCGUAGCUGGUCUGAGAGGAUUAUCAGCCACACUGGAACUGAGACACGGUCCAGACUCCUACGGGAGGCAGCAGUGGGGAAUAUUGGACAAUGGGCGCAAGCCUGAUCCAGCCAUACCGCGUGGGUGAAGAAGGCCUUCGGGUUGUAAAGCCCUUUUGUUGGGAAAGAAAAGCAGCAGGUUAAUACCCCGCUGUUCUGACGGUACCUAAAGAAUAAGCACCGGCUAACUUCGUG
Molecule: ribosomal RNA, 492 nt
Filed under: uncultured bacterium
Lineage: Bacteria
Description: partial 16S ribosomal RNA
Rfam family: Bacterial small subunit ribosomal RNA
Source: RNAcentral